Molecule: ribosomal RNA, 503 nt
Filed under: uncultured bacterium
Lineage: Bacteria
Description: partial 16S ribosomal RNA
Rfam family: Bacterial small subunit ribosomal RNA
Source: RNAcentral
AUUGAACGCUGGCGGCAGGCUUAACACAUGCAAGUCGAGCGGGGUGAUGGUGCUUGCACUAUCACUUAGCGGCGGACGGGUGAGUAAUGCUUAGGAAUCUGCCUAUUAGUGGGGGACAACGUCUCGAAAGGGAUGCUAAUACCGCAUACGUCCUACGGGAGAAAGCAGGGGAUCACUUGUGACCUUGCGCUAAUAGAUGAGCCUAAGUCGGAUUAGCUAGUUGGUGGGGUAAAGGCCUACCAAGGCGACGAUCUGUAGCGGGUCUGAGAGGAUGAUCCGCCACACUGGGACUGAGACACGGCCCAGACUCCUACGGGGGGCAGCAGUGGGGAAUGUUGGACAAUGGGGGGAACCCUGAUCUAGCCAUGCCGCGUGUGUGAAGAAGGCCUUAUGGUUGUAAAGCACUUUAAGCGAGGAGGAGGCUCUUUUGGUUAAUACCCAAGAUGAGUGGACGUUACUCGCAGAAUAAGCACCGGCUAACUCUGUGCCAGCCGCCGCCGUAA